UGGAUUGAGAGCUUGCUCUCAAGAAGUUAGCGGCGGACGGGUGAGUAACACGUGGGUAACCUGCCCAUAAGACUGGGAUAACUCCGGGAAACCGGGGCUAAUACCGGAUAAUAUUUUGAACUGCAUGGUUCGAAAUUGAAAGGCGGCUUCGGCUGUCACUUAUGGAUGGACCCGCGUCGCAUUAGCUAGUUGGUGAGGUAACGGCUCACCAAGGCAACGAUGCGUAGCCGACCUGAGAGGGUGAUCGGCCACACUGGGACUGAGACACGGCCCAGACUCCUACGGGAGGCAGCAGUAGGGAAUCUUCCGCAAUGGACGAAAGUCUGACGGAGCAACGCCGCGUGAGUGAUGAAGGCUUUCGGGUCGUAAAACUCUGUUGUUAGGGAAGAACAAGUGCUAGUUGAAUAAGCUGGCACCUUGACGGUACCUAACCAGAAAGCCACGGCUAACUACGUGCCAGCAGCCGCGGUAAUACGUAGGUGGCAAGCGUUAUCCGGAAUUAUUGGGCGUAAGCGCGCGCAGGUGGUUUCUUAAGUCUGAUGUG
This 544-nucleotide ribosomal RNA is filed under the name Bacillus sp. (in: firmicutes). RNAcentral describes it as "bacterial SSU rRNA". It matches the Rfam family "Bacterial small subunit ribosomal RNA", at positions 68 to 596 of the family's 1533-position model. The record is from RNAcentral. Lineage: Bacteria; Bacillati; Bacillota; Bacilli; Caryophanales; Bacillaceae.